RNAcentral lists this ribosomal RNA (434 nucleotides) under uncultured Lachnospiraceae bacterium. RNAcentral's name for it is "partial 16S ribosomal RNA". It matches the Rfam family "Bacterial small subunit ribosomal RNA", at positions 341 to 792 of the family's 1533-position model. The record is from RNAcentral. Lineage: Bacteria; Bacillati; Bacillota; Clostridia; Lachnospirales; Lachnospiraceae.
ACGGAAGGCAGCAGUGGGGAAUAUUGCACAAUGGGGGAAACCCUGAUGCAGCGACGCCGCGUGAGUGAUGAAGUAUUUCGGUAUGUAAAGCUCUAUCAGCAGGGAAGAUAAUGACGGUACCUGACUAAGAAGCACCGGCUAAAUACAUGCCAGCAGCCGCGGUAGUACGUAUGGUGCAAGCGUUAUCCGGAUUUACUGGGUGUAAAGGGUGCGUAGGUGGCAUGGCAAGUCAGAAGUGAAAUGCGGGGGCUCAACCCCUGAACUGCUUUUGAAACUGUCAAGCUAGAGUAUAGGAGAGGAAAGCGGAAUUCCUAGUGUAGCGGUGAAAUGCGUAGAUAUUAGGAGGAACACCAGUGGCGAAGGCGGCUUUCUGGACUAAAACUGACACUGAGGCACGAAAGCGUGGGGAGCAAACAGGAUUAGAUACCCUGGUA